This is a non-coding RNA of Xylariaceae sp. FL1272, 92 nucleotides long. The record is from the annotation of a GenBank genome assembly. Lineage: Eukaryota; Fungi; Ascomycota; Sordariomycetes; Xylariales; Xylariaceae.
GGCUCUAUGGUCUAGAGGUAUGAUUCCUGCUUUGGGUUCGCUCACUAGCGUUCGUUUGCAGGAGGCCCCGGGUUCGAAUCCCGGUGGAGCCC